UACGUAGGGUGCAAGCGUUAAUCGGAAUUACUGGGCGUAAAGCGUGCGCAGGCGGUUAUGUAAGACAGAUGUGAAAUGCCCGGGCUUAACCUGGGAACUGCAUUUGUGACCGCAUGGCUAGAGUGUGUCAGAGGGGGGUAGAAUUCCACGUGUAGCAGUGAAAUGCGUAGAUAUGUGGAGGAAUACCGAUGGCGAAGGCAGCCCCCUGGGAUAACACUGACGCUCAUGCACGAAAGCGUGGGGAGCAAACAGG
Molecule: ribosomal RNA, 253 nt
Filed under: uncultured bacterium
Lineage: Bacteria
Description: partial 16S ribosomal RNA
Rfam family: Bacterial small subunit ribosomal RNA
Source: RNAcentral